Molecule: long non-coding RNA, 338 nt
Organism: Odocoileus virginianus texanus
Lineage: Eukaryota; Metazoa; Chordata; Mammalia; Artiodactyla; Cervidae
Source: RefSeq, a predicted model, not a curated record
UCCAGAGAAAUAGAGAAUGCAGCCAACCAUGCCUGGACUAUGGAAAGUACUUUAUGGAGAUUAAAUUACAGUAUGAAAAUGUAAAAACCAAGCUCAACCAAAAAAAAAAAAAAUGGUAAAAACCAUGAAACUAAGAUGUAUAGCCUGACCUAAAAACUGAUUAACACUCUUCUGCAGCCAGCCCAUGGACACCAGCUGCAACCCUGACUUACUUUGAGGGUGAUACCCCAACAGGCUGGGGGGAGAUAACUCUUCUGGAGAAGGAAAGGCUGUAAACCAUGCAAGGCUUUCCUGCGAGUGACACACUUGCCCAGAAUAAAGAAUCAGGUGUAACAUGU